Mirounga angustirostris (Northern elephant seal) is the source of this 5763-nucleotide long non-coding RNA. RefSeq lists it as uncharacterized. Lineage: Eukaryota; Metazoa; Chordata; Mammalia; Carnivora; Phocidae. The record is from RefSeq and is a predicted model, not a curated record. The transcript is spliced from 6 exons.
UUCCCUUGCCUUUACAGACAUGUCUUGAAAGAAGUUGCUGUGGCUGAUGUCAAAGAGGUGACUGCCUCUGUUCUCCUCUAGGAUUUUGAUGGACUCCUGUCUCACAUUGAGGUCUUUUAUCCAUUUUGAGUUUAUCUUUGUCCAUGAUGUUAGAGAAUGGUCGAGUUUCAAUCUUCUGCAUGUGGCUGUCCAAUUUUCCCAGCACCAUUUAUUGGAGAGACUGUCUUUUUUCCAUUGGACAUUCAUUCCUGAUCUGUCAAAGAUUGGUGGACCAUAGAGUUGAGGGUCCAUUUCUGGGGUCUUUAUUCUGUUCCAUUGAUCUAUGUGUUUUUGUGCCAAUACCAUCCCGUCACAGAUUUGCAAUAUAGAUUGACGUCAGGCAUUGUGAUGCCCCCAGGUUUGGUUUUCUUUUGCAACAUUUCCCUGGUUAUGUAUCCUUGGCUGCAUGUUCUCAUUUAGUACUGUGAAUAUGUCUUUCCAGCUCUUUUUCACCUGCAAAGUCCCUUUGGACAGGUCUGACGUUAUUCUGAUGUUCCUCCCUCCGUACAUAAGAAAUCUGUUCCCCCUGGCUGCUUUCUGGAUUGCUUCCUUGGUUCUAAGAUUUGCAAGUUUUCCAUUUUUAAUUCUAAUAGUGUAUUUAUAGAAUACUUUGGAUUUUCUAUGUACACCAUCAUAUUAUCUGUAAAUAGUCACAAUGUUCUCCUCGCUUCUUAUUCUUUUUGUUUCUCUUGGCUUAUAACACUUGGGAGAUUCUCCAAUGGAAUGUUGACCAGAGUAGCAUUGCUUGAAGAUUUUAAUAUACCUUUCUCAAUAUCUGAUAGAAAAAGCAGACAAAACAUUGGUAAGACAUGUGACCUAAUUGACAUAUAUGGAACAUUACAGAGUAAGUGCAGAAUACAUUAUUUUCAAGUGGUGCUAGAAUAUUUAUCCAAAUAGACGAUAUGUUGGGCCAUGAAUCAAGUCUACACAUUUUAAAAGCCUGAAAUUAACUAGGUUAUAUUCUUAGACUACAGGGAAUCGAGCCAUAGUCAUAAUGAAAAGAAAAGCAGGAAGUCCCUCAAUGCUUAAAACUUAAAUGUAAAUUUGCUACAUAUCCUAAGGGUCAGAGAGGGAAUCACAAUGGAAAGUCUCGAUCUUUCCUACAUCAGAGCUCACAGACAAUGGCAUUCUAUCCGUGAAGAGCACUAUAAAUAAGGUAGACAGGAGUUGAGCCUUAAGUCCGAGUUCUGCCUGCCUCAGCCACACCUGGCAGCCUUGGCAUGUGGUCGCCCCCAGCUGCCCUUUCUGGUAGCCCUGAGCUAAGGGGGACAACAUAGCCAUAUGGAAAUGGGAAGCUCCCCACUCCUAGUGAUGAUGGUGCUAUUGUAUUGUCCUCACCAGUCCAACAAGAUGAUUUCUGAGUGAAACAUGACACAAUAGCAGCUUCUUGACCUUCCUUAAGGUUUGAAAAUCAUCUUGUGAGUCAUCUAUCAGAAAUAUGGUUUCAACAUGUGUCCUUUUUUCUGGAAAAGAAAUAGAUCCAAAUAGUAAUUAUGGUUUCUGAGCACCUGCCCUUGAGCUCCAUCACACUGCUCUUUGUGGAAUUCUCCCUCUUAAACUUCUAAACUAUGAUGUAGGUAUUUUUAGUCACAUUUUCUAGAUGGUUAGACGGGGGCUCAGAGACGAUACGAGUCACGGAGGAUUUUAGUGUCAGAGACCUAAGUGGGAUCUCCAAACUGACUCCAAAUCCCUUGUUAUUCCAUACACGGAACUCUUUCCCUGUUAUCUCUGGUCUUCUCCAUCUGGAAACAUAUCAAGUACCAGGAUUUUCUUGUUGUGUGGCCAACUGGAAUGAAUUCAGCCGGCCUUUUAAACUAUGCCCAUCAUGAUCAGUGGAGGACCUUUGAGUAAGAUACUCCAAGAUCUCUAGGAAUAGAGACAUUAUAAUCUGCUUGAGAUCUUCAAGUUACUGAAAGAACUAUCUUUUUUUUAAUUGAUUCAGGCUCUAGUAUGUUCAGAGUGUGCUGUAAGACAGGUCUGAAAUAGUAUUUAAAAACACUCAGCUCAGCCUCUUCUACAAAGUGAGACAGUGCUUAUAAACAUUGCUAAAAUAGUCCCUUAGCUAUGAUUACUUACUUCCCAACCAUCGUAGUGUUUAUAUGGUAUGACUAUGACUUAACAUUAGUCAAAAUCUGCAAGGAAAGAACUGAGACAGUGUAUGCAAGCUUUAGGGGCACUUCAUGUUUCCAUUAGUGUUGUGAAAAUGAGCUACUCUUUUUUAUUCUAUAGUCCAAGGGAAUGGUGCCAGACAUCACUGAGAUGUCUAGGAGUUCUAAAAUUCUGACUUUAAAUUAUCUGUGUGCUUCAGAGAUUUGGGCAGGAGAAGGGGAGGAGCCCAGCAUCUGUGAACACCUGUUACCUGUGUUGACCGUGGGACAGGUGAACUUCUCUAGGCAUCAUUUUGAUUUUUUGGCACUAUUGUUAAAGGUACUUUUGUCUCAAGUUCCUCCCUUUAGUAGCAAUUCUAAUGAUAAUGGAAAUUUUUAUCUUUUACCAUCCGUGGGCCUGGAUCCUGGGCUCCCAGAGAAGCUAUCCUUUAACAUUUUACCGAGGUCAAAAUGACUGGGCCAAGCCUCAGAGUAUGGGUCCUAUUUCUGUCCCAAGCACAUAUUGUACAUCUGGUUUGAGAAGAAAAAGAUAACCCCAAAAUGCCAUUGCAAACAUAAAGAUAAGAAAAACAAAAGAACCUCUCUGGCUUCCAUAAGAUUAGAGUCAUACCAACUUGUACAAACUGAAAACAUAAGAGAAAGUCUGUCACUUUCUUGAAUGUUCUUCCUCAUGAUGAUAUGUAAAUCUGUAUGUAAAUCAACACAGAACAAAUAUAUAAACCUGCCUCAAAUGUUCCUUCCCCGGAGCACUCCCUUUUUUGUGAAGAUUGUGUCUCCCAGGCAGCUGUCCUGACUUGGGUUUGAAUAAAACUCUCUUCCUUUUUCUCUAAAGUGUUUAAAAGGGUUUGUUCAUUCAGUGUCGAGAAUAACAAUAUGUUUUCUUUUUAAGUGAAAAAUAAAUGUUCCUCGUUCACAACUCCAACAGCAGAGAAGGGCGGCUGUUCUUCAUCCUGGAGCUUCCCUGCAGAACCAAGCAUAUGUAUAUAUAUUCCAGCAUAAACGGGCUCAUCCUACAAGGAUGCUUUGAAGGUCCAAGAAGCACUAUCCAGUCCAUGGAAACCGAAGCAGGUGUGCUUGCCAUAGGUCGGAGGUCCUACUUAUCCCCACCUGACAGCACUUCUCCCCUCUGGCUCCAUGAGACCCGAAGUUUUGAACAUCAGCAUGUGAGUCAGUGAUGCUGCUUGUCACAGGACGUCAGCAUUCAGAGAGAGCAGCAGGUCCAUUUGGCACAAUGUCAUCUUCAAGUCAGGACUGGAGUUUCUUUGGUGGUGGAGUCAGAAGGAGAGUGUUUGGGAAUUCUGGAUGGAGGCAUGCUGGUGUCAGGAGCACUGGGCUGAGUUCUGGAACUGCUUGCCUGAGCCUAGGUGCGUCAGGUUAUCCCACAGAGCUUCCGUUGACUCCUUAUGAAAUUGCUGGAAGGAGCAGGAUCUGUGGACUCCAGGGGUGAUGUGAGAAACCUCAGAAGCUUCCCUUGUCCGUGUUUCCCUCGUCUGUCCCGGUGCUCCAUUCCUUCCUAAGGCCUUGUCACCCGGACCAGAGCAGUGAAUCUGGAACCUCUUCCAAAUGGAGACCCGGAGGCUGCAACAAGGAGGGUCUUGGCCUUGGUCCCCAGACUAGUGGUCAGUGCUCUGCCAUGUUCUGCGUACCCAGGUCCUCAGCCCCCCAAGUCCCCAGUCUGUCCCCUGCUCAGAAGGACCUCGAGGGAGUACAAAGCAUUUUCCCAGGACUGGGAGCACAGUGGGUCGGGGAUGGAGAUCCAAGGCCAAUAGGCUCUUCCACAAGCCUGUGGGACCCUAGGGACACUGCAUCUCUAAGCCCAAGUGACAGAAGAGUAAGCUGAGGCCUUUGUGCUGUAGCCCCUCUGGACUUGGGGGUGGGUAUCUCUUCCUGCUUCCAAGUGCCCAGGCUGGUGAUGGACACCGGAACCCAGACCCUGUCCUCUCCCAGUGCCCUGGCAACCCUUCGGGGUCCCUUGGGGACCCCUGACCCUCAGCCUGGCCUGUCUCCCCUCCCCAUGCUAUGGAUCUGGGUCCUUGCCAGGAGUCCUGAUGCCCUGCCCCAUGGCCCAGCUGUCUGCAACCUGUUUCUUCUUUCCCCCCUGUCACCCACCUCGCUCCCAGGGUGUCCUCCCCUUCUGACCCCCAGCUGGGCAGUCAGAGUGGUGUGUGUGUGGGUGUGGGUGUGUGUGUGGGGGUGUGUGUGCAGCUGCACGUGCCUCUACGUGCCUGGGGAUGCCAAGGUCAUGUCCCCACAUGGAACGGGGUGGGUAGCUCUUCCCGAGGAUCUGAGUGGCUCUCACCCCCAAAGCAAACCUCAUGGGAGGGUUGGGACUGGCCUAGGACUGGAGAGCAGCUCCUUGGACUCUGCACCCCUCAGUUGUCCUGGGCCAGUCCCUGCCUCUCUUGACCCAGGUUCCCAACUGUCCCUGAGGGUCGGACAUGGAAAGGCUUGAACGUGGCUGCUCCUCCAGGGGUAGGUGGGGGACAGGUGCACCAGGCACGCAGGCCUCCCCACCGAGAGGGCCAGCCAGGUGUGUCAUGGCCAGGUGUGCACAGACGACCUGCCCACAGCUCCUGUACCAUGACCCAGCCCUGCGGCAGAUGUGCACGAGACCCAUGGCUCCGCACCUGACCGGUCCCCCGCAUUCCCUCACCACCUCGGAGACAAGGGCUCUUCUUCGUCCUAGGGCCCGUCAUCCUUUGGACAAUGAGAGCAGAGGGAUCCGUAUCUAGAGGAGGCCGGCAGGGCGUCCCACGGAGUGUCGUGUGCCCAUCUCUGCUUUGUCGUCUAGGCUUAGCGGCGGACCCCCACCUAGAAAGAGGCCCACGGGGCAGGGACAUUUGUCUGCCUUGUUCCCUGAAUUAUGGAAAAUGUCUAGAAGGGGCUUCCUGUCCAUGUGUGGAGUCGAUGAAGCCCAGCCAGCACCUUUCAGAUGUCUGAGUGGCUCUGGGGCCCCUCUGCCAGCCCCCAGGGAUCCCUGCUCUGGCUCCACCCAGGAUGGGAGCCCCAGAUGGAAUCUGAAACCUCCUCACAGCCAGGAAUGCGGCUUUGCCCUGGACACAGGACACCGAGGCUUGGGGCAGAGAGCUCCUUCACGGUGGAGAGGAACCGCCUCAGCCCCAGGCCACCCUCCCCGUGGGCCGGCCACAGGGUCGGGGAGCGGUCCCAACAGGCCCGACGGCAACCCCGUGUGUGGGGCCUGGCCUCGUGGCACGCAGGGUCCCCAGGAGACACCUGAGGUUCAGAGAGGGGACGUGCCAGGCCCGAGACACACAGCCCGCAGGCUGAUGGGGUUGAGGCAGCAGCGCCCACCUGCUGCAUGGAGAGCAGCAGCGAGGAGCCGUGGUUGCAGACCCCGAGACACGGCGCUCGUGUGAGUCCGAGGCUGCCACAGAUGUGAUGGAGGCUGAGGAGGGGGAGGUGCUGACAGAGGCUGAGAUGAUGCCUGAGGUCUGCAGCGACGACUGGGAGGUCAACUCCGGAACUUGAGGAACGGCAAGGCCAGCAGAAACACCAGACUGUAUUUACCAAAAUUGACAAAGAGACAAAAAUGGAACCACUUUAUACCAACCAAUUGGCUCCCUGAGAUGAAGCAGAUCAUUCUGAGAAGCACACA